This 3052-nucleotide long non-coding RNA is filed under the name Populus trichocarpa (black cottonwood). RNAcentral describes it as "long non-coding RNA (PTRI_LNC001128)". The record is from RNAcentral. Lineage: Eukaryota; Viridiplantae; Streptophyta; Magnoliopsida; Malpighiales; Salicaceae.
AGAAGCUGUAACUUCUUUACGAGGGGUUGGCCGCGUUCUUGCCCAGCAGAACCUGAUAGCCAAUUCGACAUGCAAUAAAUUGCCUCGCAUUUGUCGACUGAAGAGAAGUCCAGGGCCAGAUUGCUGCAAUAAGAAAUGCGUUGACGUUAAGACAGAUCGCUUCAACUGUGGAAUGUGUGGCUACAAGUGCAAGUACACUGAAACAUGCUGCAAAGGAAAGUGUGUGAACCCAUCAUUUGAUAAAAGACAUUGUGGUGGAUGCAAUAAGAAGUGCAAGAAAGGGGAAUUUUGUGUUUAUGGGAUGUGUAGCUAUGCAUGAAUGCGUCACAAACUGUGUAAUUCUCUGAUAUAGAGUAUAUUUCCUUUCAUGUUUCUGCAAGACCGAGUCUCUUUCUCUAAGGAACACCAUGGUUCUGUUGGCUUAAUGUAUAUUUCACACCAUCAAAUUGUGGGAGUGCUUGUGAUUUUACUAAUCGAAGUGUAAAUAUGGAGAAUUGCCAAAAGCAUAACCUUGAAAAUCUCAUACUUGGGAUCAAACAAUGUGAAUAUUGCCAGCAUGCAUAUAUGUCUCGUUAUUUGUAUUUAAUUGCUUUAAUUAUUUACUUAACAAAUGAUAUUCUUAACAUUAAUUUGUGGGAACUCCUGCUGUUUUGGACAAAACGAAAUUUGUAUUCAAAAUCAAUUACUUUUUGCAGAAAAUGUAUGAAAUGACGGUUGUUCAACACUAAAAAUGUAUACCUAGUCAACUCUCACAUGUUUUUGUUGCCUUUCUAAAGCGACUGUGGGCUAACGUGAUUGAAACUCUAUUUUUAAAAUAUUUAAAAAAUAAUUUUUUUUAUUGUUUUAAUGUACUAUAUCAAAAAUAAUAUUUUAAAAAUAAAAAAAAUAUUAUUUUAAUUUAUUUUUAAACAAAAAUUAUUUUAAAAAACAAUAUUACUCUCAAAGAAUCCAUGAUCUACUUUCACUGUAAUUUAAAUUAAACUUUGAUCUUCCCACUUUGUUCCAACAUUUAUGGGUGAAAUUGUCAACCUAAUUAAAAAUAAAUAAUAGAAAAUUGAUACUCAAUGAAUAACAAAUUAAAUUUGCAUUUCCUGAGCCUGAUCAAUGGUUUCGCAUGUCAGGUAUUUGUUUAGACUCUUGGUAAUUUUUGUUUUUUUUUUUAAACUGAAUAUUUUUCCAACUUCAUAAUUUAUUUUAGUUUACUUUCUAUGAGUUAUUCUAAUCUUAUAACCUGGGUCAUGGAUUUGACAAAUUAUCUCGAGUUGAUUUUAAUUAUUUUUUUCUAAUCUUUUUUUUUCUAAUUUCUUUAUCAAUUUCAUCUUUCAAUAUUGAGUUUAUUGAGAUUAGGUUUCAUAAUUUAUUUUGAUUUGUUUUAGAUGAGGUUAUUAUGGUUUCAUAACCCAAGUCGUGGAUUUAGAAAGUUGACCCGGGUUGAUCCAAUACAUUGUUAUCUCAAUGUUUAAAAAAAAUGGAUAUCGACUUGAAUUUUUUUUAGUCAACUAUAUUUUUACCGAUCGUUCAAGUUAUUUUGGAUCUGUCGAGUUGACUGUGUCAUGUUGAGAGAAAUCUUAUAUAAUUUAAAUUUUUCUUCAUGAGAAAUAUUUGCUAAGUGUGGGUGUUUCUUUUUACAUUAAAAGAAAUUAAUGAAGAAUAAAAUAAAAUAAGGAUAUUGCAUAUUGCAUCAUACCUUAUACUCGUUUUUUAAUGGUAAAAGAUGUUUUUGAAUUAAUUUAUGCAUCUAGUAAGAUUAAGUUUUAUAUAUGAAUGAUCUUAAAGUAUAUCUUUUAUAUUGGUUUGAUAUAUUUUAAAAACAAAUCUUCUAAUUUUAAAAAAAAUUUACAUUCUUAACUAUAAAAUCAACUCCACACUUGAGUGUAGUCAGGACCUUGUUGUUCAAUAAAAAGGUAUUAUAUUCAAACCCAAAACUAUGGAUGCAAUAUAGUAAUAUACCAUCUAGAUACAGAAUGCUUGAAAUAGUACUAAAAAUGCUUGGAAGAACUUGCUGUCAAUUUUACUUUACAAUAAUGGGGGUACAGAAUCAAUAGGAGGCCAACUUUUCUUCACAUUUAAUCAACUUAUUUCUUUAAAGUUUCAAGGUAUUUAGUGAUUUCUAAGUAAUCUCCUGGAUCAAAGAUCACACAGAAAAAGUUGGCUGCAAAUUCAUUUUCCUAUAGGCAGCUUUCACACACAAAUUUAUCCAUAAGGCCCCAUCAGUAAGAUUUUCUUCCACCAACCUGGCUUCAUUUUAGUGGCCAUGAAGUUGCUAAAACUCUUCUUUGCUCUAUCUGCAACCAUAGCUACUGUUGCAGCUCUGCAUUCAGAUCAUUACAGCGAAAACUCAAACAUGCAAAGACAACUCUCACUGUGUGAAAUUCAAGAAGCUGUAACUUCUUUACGAGGGGUUGGCCGCGUUCUUGCCCAGCAGAACACGAUAGCCAAUUCGACAUGCAAUAAAUUGCCUCGCAUUUGUCGACUGAAGAGAAUUCCAGGGCCAGAUUGCUGCAAUGAGAAAUGUGUUGACGUUAAUACGUAUCGCUUCAACUGUGGAAUGUGAGGUACAAGUGCAAGUACACUGAAUCAUGCUGCAAAGGAAAGUGUGUGAACACAUGAUCAUUUGAUAAAAUUAAGACAUUGUGGUGGAUGCAAUAAGAAGUGCAAGAAAGGGAAAUUUUGUGUUUAUGGGAUGUGUAGCUAUGCAUGAUUGCUUCACAAACUGUAUCAUUUUCAGUUUAAUUUGAUGAAUAACCAUUGUAAUCCACAUGCACAAACGAGUGUGACUGGACUAUUAAGCUUCCGACUGGCAAGGAUAUAGGUAAAUGUUGUUGCCAUACUGAGCUGAGCGUAAUAGGUGGCUCGACAUCUGCAACUCCUUGAGUUUGCAGGUUUUACACAUUCCAACAAAGUUCUUUGUGGCCAUAACAAGAUUCAAGGUUUGCUUUCACUCAGUGUGGAGUGUCCAGAGGUCGUAGACUUCAGCGUGUGCCAAUAAAAAAUGGUUGAGGUCUAGUCCAUGUUAAUUCCUUGAUGCCUCCAUAUAUAAUUCCUGUUCUUG